GACGAACGCUGGCGGCGUGCUUAACACAUGCAAGUCGAACGGAAAGGCCCCUUUGGGGGUACUCGAGUGGCGAACGGGUGAGUAACACGUGAGUAACCUGCCCUUGACUUCGGGAUAACUUCAGGAAACUGGGGCUAAUACCGGAUAGGAAUCCUUGCUGCAUGGUGGGGGUUGGAAAGCUUCGGCGGUUUUGGAUGGACUCGCGGCUUAUCAGCUUGUUGGUGGGGUAGUGGCUUACCAAGGCUUUGACGGGUAGCCGGCCUGAGAGGGGGACCGGCCACAUUGGGACUGGGAUACGGCCCAGACUCCUACGGGAGGCAGCAGUGGGGAAUAUUGCACAAUGGGCGGAAGCCUGAUGCAGCAACGCCGCGUGCGGGAUGACGGCCUUCGGGUUGUAAACCGCUUUCAGCAGGGGCGAAGCUUGUGGUGACGGUACCUGCAGAAGAAGCACCGGCUAACUACGUG
RNAcentral lists this ribosomal RNA (465 nucleotides) under uncultured bacterium. RNAcentral describes it as "partial 16S ribosomal RNA". It matches the Rfam family "Bacterial small subunit ribosomal RNA", at positions 28 to 507 of the family's 1533-position model. The record is from RNAcentral.